This 171-nucleotide small RNA is filed under the name Meriones unguiculatus (Mongolian gerbil). RNAcentral's name for it is "Myocardial infarction associated transcript exon 5 conserved region 1 (ENSMUGG00000013756.1)". Lineage: Eukaryota; Metazoa; Chordata; Mammalia; Rodentia; Muridae. The record is from RNAcentral.
GGUGUGUUUAACCUACUAACCAAACCAGGGCUCGGCCAGGACUCUACCGCCCGCCCGCCCGCCCGCCUGCCCGCCCUCGACGAGACGCCUGGCCCUUCUGUCGACUGACUAAUCCACUAACCUGGCCCGAGCAUGUCCUACUAACCCCGCAGCAGCCAAACCCUACUAACU